Molecule: ribosomal RNA, 376 nt
Filed under: uncultured euryarchaeote
Lineage: Archaea; Methanobacteriati; Methanobacteriota
Description: bacterial SSU rRNA
Rfam family: Archaeal small subunit ribosomal RNA
Source: RNAcentral
UUCCGGUUGAUCCUGCCAGAGGCUACUGCUAUCGGGGUCCGACUAAGCCAUGCGAGUUGAGAGGGGUAAGCCCUCGGCAUAUUGCUCAGUAACACGCGGAUAACCUGCCCUUGGGUUUGGGAUAACCCCGGGAAACUGGGACUAAUACCGGAUAGAUCAAAGAUACUGGAAUGUUCUUUGUUCGAAAGCUCCGGCGCCCAAGGAUGGGUCUGCGGCCUAUCAGGUAGUAGUGGGUGUAACGUACCUACUAGCCUACGACGGGUAAGGGUUGUGAGAGCAAGAGCCCUGAGAUGGAUUCUGAGACAUGAAUCCAGGCCCUACGGGGUGCAGCAGGCGCGAAAACUUUACACUGCGGGAAACCGCGAUAAGGGGACCC